UGCGUAGGCGGUUUGAUAAGUCAGAGGUGAAAGCCCACAGCUCAACUGUGGAAUUGCCUUUGAUACUGUUAGACUUGAAUCAGGUUGAGGUUGGCGGAAUGUGGCAUGUAGCGGUGAAAUGCAUAGAUAUGCCAUAGAACACCAAUUGCGAAGGCAGCUGACUAGACCUGUAUUGACGCUGAGGCACGAAAGCGUGGGGAGCGAACAGGAUUAGAUACCCUGGUAGUCC
This 229-nucleotide ribosomal RNA is filed under the name uncultured bacterium. RNAcentral describes it as "partial 16S ribosomal RNA". It matches the Rfam family "Bacterial small subunit ribosomal RNA", at positions 568 to 796 of the family's 1533-position model. The record is from RNAcentral.